AUUCUAUAACAUACAACUUUGUCAGAAUAAUACGAACUCCUGUUUAAAAUUCAAAGAACUUGGCGGUGUCUAAUCAAAACAGGGGAACCUGUCCUUUAAUUCGAUAAUCCACGCCACCACCACCACUUCUCACCAAGCCUGUGUACUGCCGUCGUCAGCUCACCUCUAAAAGCGUGUGCAAAUAAUAUUUCUAUUUCACGUCAGGUCAAAGUGCAGCUAAUGAAGUGGAAGAGAUGGGUUACAAUCCUUAAAUAGAAACAGAUUCUAUAACCACACUUAUAGAUAAAGGUGGACUUGUCAGUAAUAACCACACAUGUCGUUAUGAACGUGAAUCU
RNAcentral lists this ribosomal RNA (335 nucleotides) under Phreodrilidae sp. P4. RNAcentral's name for it is "partial small subunit ribosomal RNA". It matches the Rfam family "Bacterial small subunit ribosomal RNA", at positions 875 to 1375 of the family's 1533-position model. Lineage: Eukaryota; Metazoa; Annelida; Clitellata; Tubificida; Phreodrilidae. The record is from RNAcentral.